Molecule: ribosomal RNA, 432 nt
Filed under: uncultured bacterium
Lineage: Bacteria
Description: partial 16S ribosomal RNA
Rfam family: Bacterial small subunit ribosomal RNA
Source: RNAcentral
ACGAACGCUGGCGGCAUGCCUAACACAUGCAAGUCGAACGAGACCUUCGGGUCUAGUGGCGCACGGGUGCGUAACGCGUGGGAACCUGCCCUUAGGUUCGGAAUAACUCCCCGAAAGGGGUGCUAAUACCGGAUAAUGUCUUCGGACCAAAGAUUUAUCGCCUUUGGAUGGGCCCGCGUUGGAUUAGCUAGUUGGUAGGGUAAAAGCCUACCAAGGCGACGAUCCAUAGCUGGUCUGAGAGGAUGAUCAGCCACACUGGGACUGAGACACGGCCCAGACUCCUACGGGAGGCAGGAGUGGGGAAUAUUGGAAAAUGGGCGAAAGCCUGAUACAGCAAUGCCGGGUGAGUGAUGAAGGGCUUAGGGUUGUAAAGCUCUUUUACCCGGGAUGAUAAUGACAGUACCGGGAGAAUAAGCUCCGGCUAACUCCGUG